This 546-nucleotide ribosomal RNA is filed under the name uncultured bacterium. RNAcentral's name for it is "bacterial SSU rRNA". It matches the Rfam family "Bacterial small subunit ribosomal RNA", at positions 792 to 1336 of the family's 1533-position model. The record is from RNAcentral.
UAUCCACGCCGUAAACGAUGGAUACUAGGUGUCCGGGAUAUUAACCUCCUGGGUACUACAGUUAACGCGUUAAGUAUCCCGCCUGGGGAGUACGGUCGCAAGGCUAAAACUCAAAGGAAUUGACGGGGGCCCGCACAAGCGGUGGAGUAUGUGGUUUAAUUCGAAGCAACGCGCAGAACCUUACCUACCCUUAACAUUUCACGACGUAUACAGAGAUGUAUAUUUCUCUUCGGAGACGUGAGGAUAGGUGCUGCAUGGCUGUCGUCGGCUCGUGUCGUGAGAUGUUGGGUUAAGUCCCGUAACGAGCGAAACCCUUAUCCUUAGUUGCCAGCGCGUAAUGGCGGGGACUCUAGGGAGACUGCCGGCGUUAAGCCGGAGGAAGGUGGGGACGACGUCAAGUCAUCAUGGCCCUUAUGGCCAGGGCUGCAAACGUCCUACAAUGGGCGGUACAAAGGGAAGCCAAGCCGCAAGGUGGAGCAAAUCCCAAAAAGCCGUCCCUAGUUCGGAUUGCGGGCUGCAAUUCGCCCGCAUGAAGUCGGAAUCGGU